GCAUUGCUCCUGUAGAAUACAAUCUGCAUGAAUCAGCUUGUAUGAACGGUUCUGAAAGUUACAGUUAUGAUUUAGACUCCUUUUCGUACAACUUUGUAUACAAUCCAACUAAAUAGUCAUUGAGGUCAGUUUCAGGUCUAAUCUUUAAUUCCUGAUCCAACUAGUGAAGUCCUGGGAGGGGUGUUGGAGUUGAACUUUACAGGGUGGGAGAUCUGCAGGAAUGAAGAAUGAAGAGAGACGCCUAAACGGAGUGGCGAGUCUCAGUUAAACGGCUGUACUGUUAUCCAGGUCCCCACAACACACCUUUCUCUUGAGAACGAAGACGGACAGGGGCUUCGGGUGGAUCAAGGAAAAGGCACUGAAUUACUAAAGAGCUAUAACUAUUAGUAUUAGUGAAGAUCAUCUAUAUAAUAUUUAGAUUCUGCAUUUUACGGUGCAUUUUAAUUCUCCAACGAAAUGGCGGUUCAAGUCCCCUGAACCCAGCUAAUGAGGACCUUUAGCUCUGGAGUGUGUUUAAGAACAUGAGAGCUGGACGUGCUGGAGUUCAACUGUACAGGGAGUAAGAGUUGUUUGAAUCCCUUUAGGACACAUCUUCGUAGAGAACGAAGGGGAAAGCGAGUUUGGUGUCACACACGGAUGGUUAGGAGAAGAAAAAAAACCGCUGAAUUAGUAAAGAGCUGCGGUUUUCUGUUUCUCCUCUCCACUCUGAAGAGCUCUCGUUUCUGAGCUGAGGAACCGGACACCUGAAGACACGACACCACGGCCUCGCACAUGACUUCAGGUACACUAUAUGGCCAAAAGUACUUGGACACCUGAUCAUUGGACGAGUAUCAGAGGAGAACGAUCAGGAAUCCCAGGAGGUCAUCGCUGACUUUGUCAACUGGUGUUAGUUAAACCACCUCUGCCUCAAUGCCAGCAAGACAAAGGAGAUGGUAGUCGACCUCCACAGGAGGCCACCCCGGUCUUCGCGGGUGAACAUCCAGGGUGUUGACAUCAAGAGGGUGGAGACAUAAAUUCCUGUGUGUUCACUUCAACAAUAAACUGGACUGGUCCAUAAACACAGAUGUCCUGUAUAAAAAGGGCCAAAGUCAUCUCCACCUGCUGAGGAGACUGAGGUCUUUUGGUGUGUGCAGUACCCUGCUAAAAUCUUUUUAUGACACUGUGGUAGCAUUUGCUAUCUUCUAUGCAGUAGUUUCCUGGGGAGCCUGGAGCACAGAGUGGGACAGGAAACGUAUUAGCAAACUGGUUAAGAGGGCUAGCUCUGUCCUGGUCUGCCCUCUGGACAGCACAGAGGUGGUGGGGGAGAGGAGGAUGUUAGCUAAGCUGGUGUCUAUCACGGGAAAUUCCUCUCACCCCUUGUAUGAGACAUUGGGGUCCCUGAGCAGCUCCUACAGCAGCAGACUGCUGCACUCUCAGUGCAAGAAAGAGUGCUACCUCAGGUCCUUCAUCCCUACAGCAGUCAGACUUUUUAAUACAAAAAACAACAUAAUGUAGCACUGCUAGUUGUUUUGCGUAAUCAACCUACACAUUCACAAUAAUUCUGCAUUAUGAACAUUUAUUCAUUUAUUAUUAUUUGUUGCUCA
Ictalurus punctatus (channel catfish) is the source of this 1583-nucleotide long non-coding RNA. RefSeq lists it as uncharacterized. Lineage: Eukaryota; Metazoa; Chordata; Actinopteri; Siluriformes; Ictaluridae. The record is from RefSeq and is a predicted model, not a curated record. The transcript is spliced from 2 exons.